Bacteroidetes bacterium MedPE-SWsnd-G2 is the source of this 64-nucleotide non-coding RNA. Lineage: Bacteria; Pseudomonadati; Bacteroidota. The record is from Rfam.
UAUCUUUGCCGCUUGGAAGAAAAACUUCCAUAUACAUAAAAAUCAUUAAAAUAAUAUUGGAAUG